Long non-coding RNA from Hermetia illucens (black soldier fly), 928 nucleotides. RefSeq lists it as uncharacterized. The transcript has 5 exons. The record is from RefSeq and is a predicted model, not a curated record. Lineage: Eukaryota; Metazoa; Arthropoda; Insecta; Diptera; Stratiomyidae.
UUGAAUUCGUGAGAUAUUGGAUGUUGAUUUUGGUUGGUUCGAGGUGUAAUUUGAUUUCAGUUGUUUAGUAAAAUUAUAUUUUCAAUAUUUUUCUCAUUUGAGGGGUUGCAAAAAGCGCGUUAACCUCCCAUUAUUUUUUCGGUCCAGUUGCCGGAGUUUAGUACUAAAUUGAAUCUUUCUAGAAAAUUUGGAAAAUUCAAAGUGGAUAAAAAGUGACUAAUGUUAACAUAAAAUGAUACGAAGAAAGUCAUAAAAAAGAAAAUCGUGUGAUUCAAAAACUAAAGUAUAUGGAAAUAUCUGUGGAAUCCUAAAAACAAGGAAACAAAGAUGUCCUUAUAAGCUAAAACGAAAACUUAAAUUGAUUGAGUGUAAGUUUUAGUAAGCUUGAAUACGGAAUGUCUAAUCUAUUAAAUCCUUUGGGGAUAAGUGGUAGUAGUCACAUCGGUUGGGACGACGUCAAUUAAAUGAACAAAGUUGAAUAAUAUCGUCAAUGACAGUUUAGAAAGAAAAUUCAUCAACGCAUCGCACAUGUUCAUUUCUAUGUAUCACUUGAACUAUCUAGAAUGCCAAGAAGUUUAUCUAAAAUAAAAACUGUUCAGUGACAAAGAAGAAUGGCAGCAAGUGUUUAGGUUUGCCAGUUCUGACUAAAAAAGUGCUGCUAAGCAAGGACCUCAAGGACAUGACAAGCGUUAAGAUUCUACGCUGCGAUGGAUGAACACUCAAAACAGCGAAAAAGGGCGAGAUAAUAAUGAUCAAAUAUAUCCAGUUCAGUGAUACACCUUCCCUUUUCUUGAAUGGUUGGAUGCCCGGAAGGUCAUAUUCACACAUGUAAGCUUCCCGAUUCAACGGAAAAUAUCUAAAAUUUCGGAAACAUCUCCAGAAACAGAUAGUUAUUUGUUACUUAUCCCAAAUGUGUCAUUUAUUUAUU